AUACGUAGGGUGCAAGCGUUAAUCGGAAUUACUGGGCGUAAAGCGUGCGCAGGCGGUUUUGUAAGACAGAGGUGAAAUCCCCGGGCUCAACCUGGGAACUGCCUUUGUGACUGCAAGGCUAGAGUACGGCAGAGGGGGCUGGAAUUCCGCGUGUAGCAGUGAAAUGCGUAGAUAUGCGGAGGAACACCGAGGGCGAAGGCAAUCCCCUGGGCCUGUACUGACGCUCAUGCACGAAAGCGUGGGGAGCAAACAGGAUUAGAUACCCUGGUAGUCCACGCCCUAAACGAUGACAACUGGUUGUUGGGGCUUCAUUGACUCAGUAACGAAGCUAACGCGUGAAGUUGACCGCCUGGGGAGUACGGCCGCAAGGUUGAAACUCAAAUGAAUUGACGGG
This 394-nucleotide ribosomal RNA is filed under the name uncultured bacterium. RNAcentral's name for it is "partial 16S ribosomal RNA". It matches the Rfam family "Bacterial small subunit ribosomal RNA", at positions 523 to 917 of the family's 1533-position model. The record is from RNAcentral.